This 499-nucleotide ribosomal RNA is filed under the name uncultured bacterium. RNAcentral describes it as "partial 16S ribosomal RNA". It matches the Rfam family "Bacterial small subunit ribosomal RNA", at positions 899 to 1397 of the family's 1533-position model. The record is from RNAcentral.
ACUCAAAGGAAUUGACGGGGGUCCGCACAAGCGGUGGAGUAUGUGGUUUAAUUCGAUGAUACGCGAGGAACCUUACCUGGGCUAGAAUGCUAUUGGACCGCUAGUGAAAGCUAGUUUCCCGCAAGGGCCGAUAGUAAGGUGCUGCAUGGCCGUCGUCAGCUCGUGCCGUGAGGUGUUGGGUUAAGUCCCGCAACGAGCGCAACCCCCAUCUUCAGUUACCAGCACGUCAUGGUGGGAACUCUGGAGAAACUGCCGUCGUAAGACGCGAGGAAGGAGGGGAUGAUGUCAGGUCAUCAUGGCCUUUAUGCCCAGGGCUACACACGUACUACAAUGGGGAGGACAAAGGGCAGCUACCUGGCGACAGGAUGCGAAUCUCAAAAACCUCUUCUCAGUUCAGAUUGGAGUCUGCAACUCGACUCCAUGAAGCUGGAAUCGCUAGUAAUCGCGCAUCAGCAAUGGCGCGGUGAAUACGUUCCCGGACCUUGUACACACCGCCCGU